This 72-nucleotide transfer RNA is filed under the name Capsicum annuum. It matches the Rfam family "tRNA". From Rfam's summary of the family: Transfer RNA (tRNA) molecules are approximately 80 nucleotides in length. The record is from Rfam by way of RNAcentral. Lineage: Eukaryota; Viridiplantae; Streptophyta; Magnoliopsida; Solanales; Solanaceae.
GAAUUUGUGGUGCAAUGGUAGCACGUCUAAUUACAAAUCAGAACGUUGCAUGUUCGAUUCACGUCAGGUCCA